This 253-nucleotide ribosomal RNA is filed under the name uncultured bacterium. RNAcentral describes it as "partial 16S ribosomal RNA". It matches the Rfam family "Bacterial small subunit ribosomal RNA", at positions 524 to 776 of the family's 1533-position model. The record is from RNAcentral.
GACGAACCUCCCGAACGUUAUUCGGAAUCACUGGGCUUAAAGGGUGCGUAGGCUGCGUAGUAAGUCGGGUGUGAAAUCCCCCAGCUCAACUGAGGAAUUGCGCCCGAUACUGCUGCGCUGGAGGGAGACAGAGGUAAGCGGAACUGAUGGUGGAGCGGUGAAAUGCGUUGAUAUCAUCAGGAACACCAGUGGCGAAAGCGGCUUACUGGGUCUCUUCUGACGCUGAGGCACGAAAGCUAGGGGAGCAAACGGG